Long non-coding RNA from Diabrotica virgifera virgifera (western corn rootworm), 785 nucleotides. RefSeq lists it as uncharacterized. The transcript is spliced from 2 exons. Lineage: Eukaryota; Metazoa; Arthropoda; Insecta; Coleoptera; Chrysomelidae. The record is from RefSeq and is a predicted model, not a curated record.
GGAUAAACCGUAAUCGUACCCCCUCCUAACUGCCAAAGUGUCAUGGCCGCCGUCGGGACCUAUUGUGCUGACAUUUACAAUGUUUACAUAUAGAAAAGUUUGUUUUUUUCUGCUUAUAAUGCCGUUUUCUAAAGAUAUUAGUGAACAAAAUCGAUUUGCUAACAAUAUUUAAUAUAUUUUAAAUGUGCUAAAAUUGGAUUCAACAGCAAAAGUCGCAUAAAUAACAUAUAAAUAACGAAUUUGUUCACCUAUUACAAAUGGGGUUAUGUGGUUGUAACUGUUUAUUUUGGGAAUAAAAUGAAAAUGAUCAAUUAAACGACUGGAAAACUAUAGUGAAGUGAAGAACAUCUUGAAGUUCCAAUGAUGUUUCAAGAUGAGGUAAAUCGAAAUAAUUGUAUGUUAGAAGGACAGAGAAUAUGAAGAAAUGUUAUUGCUGCAUAUUUAGUGUAGUGAAAUACAAACUUCAAACAUUAUAAUAUAUUUUUUGAUUUCAAACAUUUCAUAUGAUUAUGAAAGAACAUCUUUCUUUUUAAAACAAUGAAGAAGUGAAGAACAUAAUAAAGUUCCAACGAAAAUGAUUCCAGAUGAGGAAAAUCGAAAUAAUGGUUGUAUGUUACAUGUAUAGAGAAUACGAAGAAAUGUUAUUGCUGCAAACUUAGUGUAGUGAAUUAAAAACUUAUUGUCAAAUACAAAUCAAUUUAUUUCAUACUUUUAUAAUAUAUAGUGAUAUAAUUUUAUAUGUGUUCAAAUAAAAAUAUUAAUAAAUAAAAUACAAUAAACACAAA